AUAUCAAUAAGCGGAGGAAAAGAAACCAACAGGGAUUGCCUCAGUAACGGCGAGUGAAGCGGCAACAGCUCAAAUUUGAAAUCUGGCUUCUUUCAGGGCCCGAGUUGUAAUUUGUAGAGGAUGCCUUCGGGUGUGGCCCCGGCCUAAGUUCCUUGGAACAGGACGUCACAGAGGGUGAGAAUCCCGUAUGUGGCUGGAGGUCUAUACCCAUGUGAAGCUCCUUCGACGAGUCGAGUUGUUUGGGAAUGCAGCUCAAAAUGGGUGGUAAGUUUCAUCUAAAGCUAAAUACUGGCGGGAGACCGAUAGCGCACAAGUAGAGUGAUCGAAAGAUGAAAAGCACUUUGGAAAGAGAGUUAAACAGUAC
RNAcentral lists this ribosomal RNA (364 nucleotides) under uncultured fungus. RNAcentral describes it as "eukaryotic LSU rRNA". It matches the Rfam family "Eukaryotic large subunit ribosomal RNA", at positions 40 to 398 of the family's 3401-position model. Lineage: Eukaryota; Fungi. The record is from RNAcentral.